UACGAGGGAUGCAAGCGUUAUCCGGAAUUAUUGGACGUAAAGCGUUUGUAGGCGGGCGAGUGUGUUUAAUGUUAAAUCUUAAAGCUCAACUUUGAAAUUGCGUUAAAAACUGCUUGUCUUGAGUAUGGUAGGGGUAAAGGGAAUUCCCAGUGUAGCGGUGAAAUGCGUAGAUAUUGGGAAGAACACUAAACAGCGAAGGCACUUUACUAGGCUAAUACUGACGCUGAGAAACGAAAGGUAAGGUAGCGAAACGGAUUAGAUACCCGUGUAGUCUUACCCGUAAACUAUGGACACUAAACGGUAAAUUUUUAAUUUACUGUUAAAGCUAACGCGUUAAGUGUCCCGCCUGGGGAGUAUGCUUGCAAAAGUGAAACUCAAAGGAAUUGACGGGGGCCCGCACAAGCGGUGGAGCAUGUGGUUUAAUUCGACGGUACACGAAGAACCUUACCAGGAUUUGACAUGCUAGAUAGUUGCUUGAAAGAGUAACGUGCCGUAAGGAAUCUAGACACAGGUGGUGCAUGGCUGUCGUCAGUUCGUGUUGUGAAAUGUUGGGUUAAGUCCCGCAACGAACGCAACCCUUGUCUUUAGUUAUUUUCUAAAGAGACUGCCUGUAAUAAACAGGAGGAAGGUAAGGAUGAGGUCAAGUCAUCAUGCCCCUUAUGUCCUGGGCUACACACGUGCUACAAUGGGAAAGACAAUGAGCUGCAAAUCUGUAAAUUUAAGCAAAUCUCUUAAACCUUCUCGUAGUUCGGAUUGUGGGCUGCAACUCGCCCACAUGAAGUUGGAAUCGCUAGUAAUCGCCAGUCAGCUAUAUGGCGGUGAAUCCGUUCCCGGGCCU
Molecule: ribosomal RNA, 838 nt
Filed under: uncultured bacterium
Lineage: Bacteria
Description: bacterial SSU rRNA
Rfam family: Bacterial small subunit ribosomal RNA
Source: RNAcentral